Molecule: ribosomal RNA, 497 nt
Filed under: uncultured bacterium
Lineage: Bacteria
Description: partial 16S ribosomal RNA
Rfam family: Bacterial small subunit ribosomal RNA
Source: RNAcentral
GACGAACGCUGGCGGCGUGCCUAAUACAUGCAAGUUGAGCGAUGAAGAUUGGUGCUUGCACCAAUUUGAAGAGCAGCGAACGGGUGAGUAACGCGUGGGGAAUCUGCCUUUGAGCGGGGGACAACAUUUGGAAACGAAUGCUAAUACCGCAUAACAACUUUAAACAUAAGUUUUAAGUUUGAAAGAUGCAAUUGCAUCACUCAAAGAUGAUCCCGCGUUGUAUUAGCUAGUUGGUGAGGUAAAGGCUCACCAAGGCGAUGAUACAUAGCCGACCUGAGAGGGUGAUCGGCCACAUUGGGACUGAGACACGGCCCAAACUCCUACGGGAGGCAGCAGUAGGGAAUCUUCGGCAAUGGGCGAAAGUCUGACCGAGCAACGCCGCGUGAGUGAAGAAGGUUUUCGGAUCGUAAAACUCUGUUGGUAGAGAAGAACGUUGGUGAGAGUGGAAAGCUCAUCAAGUGACGGUAACUACCCAGAAAGGGACGGCUAACUACGUG